This 84-nucleotide non-coding RNA is filed under the name Castor canadensis (American beaver). Lineage: Eukaryota; Metazoa; Chordata; Mammalia; Rodentia; Castoridae. The record is from RNAcentral.
GUGGUGUAUGAAAGGAGAAGUUAGCACUCCCUUUGACAAGGAAGGAACCAGGAAACUAUAUGAAUGUUUGCUACCUUUGUUUUU